AGAUUGAGAGCGGUUAGUGGCGGACUGGUGAGUAACACGUAAGCAACCUGCCUAUCAGAGGGGAAUAACAGUGAGAAAUCAUUGCUAAUACCGCAUAAGCUAGUAGUAUCGCAUGAUAUAGCUAGAAAAGGAGCAAUCCGCUGAUAGAUGGGCUUGCGUCUGAUUAGCUAGUUGGUGGGGUAACGGCCUACCAAGGCGACGAUCAGUAGCCGGACUGAGAGGUUGAACGGCCACAUUGGGACUGAGAUACGGCCCAGACUCCUACGGGAGGCAGCAGUCGGGAAUAUUGCGCAAUGGAGGAAACUCUGACGCAGUGACGCCGCGUAUAGGAAGAAGGUUUUCGGAUUGUAAACUAUUGUCGUGAGGGAAGAAAUUGACAGUACCUCAGGAGGAAGCUCCGGCUAACUAUGUGCCAGCAGCCGCGGUAAUACAUAGGGAGCAAGCGUUAUCCGGAUUUAUUGGGUGUAAAGGGUGCGUAGACGGGAAAUUAAGUUAGUUGUGAAAUCCCUCGGCUUAACUGAGGAACUGCAACUAAAACUGAUUUUCUUGAGUACUGGAGAGGAAAGUGGAAUUCCUAGUGUAGCGGUGAAAUGCGUAGAUAUUAGGAGGAACACCAGUGGCGAAGGCGACUUUCUGGACAGUAACUGACGUUGAGGCACGAAAGUGUGGGGAGCAAACAGGAUUAGAUACCCUGGUAGUCCACACUGUAAACGAUGGAUACUAGGUGUAGGAUGUAUUAAGCAUUCUGUGCCGCCGCUAACGCAUUAAGUAUCCCAC
RNAcentral lists this ribosomal RNA (777 nucleotides) under uncultured bacterium. RNAcentral's name for it is "bacterial SSU rRNA". It matches the Rfam family "Bacterial small subunit ribosomal RNA", at positions 79 to 872 of the family's 1533-position model. The record is from RNAcentral.